CUUGGUCAUUUAGAGGAAGUAAAAGUCGUAACAAGGUCUCCGUAGGUGAGCCUGCGGAGGGAUCAUUACAAGUGACCCCGGUCUAACCACCGGGAUGUUCAUAACCCUUUGUUGUCCGACUCUGUUGCCUCCGGGGCGACCCUGCCUUCGGGCGGGGGCUCCGGGUGGACACUUCAAACUCUUGCGUAACUUUGCAGUCUGAGUAAACUUAAUUAAUAAAUUAAAACUUUUAACAACGGAUCUCUUGGUUCUGGCAUCGAUGAAGAACGCAGCGAAAUGCGAUAAGUAAUGUGAAUUGCAGAAUUCAGUGAAUCAUCGAAUCUUUGAACGCACAUUGCGCCCCCUGGUAUUCCGGGGGGCAUGCCUGUUCGAGCGUCAUUUCACCACUCAAGCCUCGCUUGGUAUUGGGCAACGCGGUCCGCCGCGUGCCUCAAAUCGACCGGCUGGGUCUUCUGUCCCCUAAGCGUUGUGGAAACUAUUCGCUAAAGGGUGUUCGGGAGGCUACGCCGUAAAACAACCCCAUUUCUAAGGUUGACCUCGGAUCAGGUAGGGAUACCCGCUGAACUUAAGCAUAUCAAUAAGCGGAGGA
This 589-nucleotide ribosomal RNA is filed under the name uncultured fungus. RNAcentral's name for it is "eukaryotic LSU rRNA". The stretch from base 225 to 378 matches the Rfam family "5.8S ribosomal RNA". The record is from RNAcentral. Lineage: Eukaryota; Fungi.